AGUGAACGCUGGCGGUAGGCCUAACACAUGCAAGUCGGACGGCAGCACAGUAAGAGCUUGCUCUUACGGGUGGCGAGUGGCGGACGGGUGAGGAAUACAUCGGAAUCUACUUUUUCGUGGGGGAUAACGUAGGGAAACUUACGCUAAUACCGCAUACGACCUACGGGUGAAAGCAGGGGAUCUUCGGACCUUGCGCGAUUGAAUGAGCCGAUGUCGGAUUAGCUAGUUGGCGGGGUAAAGGCCCACCAAGGCGACGAUCCGUAGCUGGUCUGAGAGGAUGAUCAGCCACACUGGAGCUGAGACACGGUCCAGACUCCUACGGGAGGCAGCAGUGGGGAAUGUUGGACAAUGGGCGCAAGCCUGAUCCAGCCAUACCGCGUGGGUGAAGAAGGCCUUCGGGUUGUAAAGCCCUUUUGUUGGGAAAGAAAAGCAGCAGGUUAAUACCCCGCGGUUCUGACGGUACCCAAAGAAUAAGCACCGGCUAACUUCGUG
Molecule: ribosomal RNA, 492 nt
Filed under: uncultured bacterium
Lineage: Bacteria
Description: partial 16S ribosomal RNA
Rfam family: Bacterial small subunit ribosomal RNA
Source: RNAcentral